RNAcentral lists this ribosomal RNA (459 nucleotides) under uncultured bacterium. RNAcentral describes it as "partial 16S ribosomal RNA". It matches the Rfam family "Bacterial small subunit ribosomal RNA", at positions 338 to 795 of the family's 1533-position model. The record is from RNAcentral.
CCUACGGGUGGCAGCAGUGAGGAAUAUUGGUCAAUGGCCGGGAGGCUGAACCAGCCAAGUCGCGUGAGGGAAGACGGCCCUACGGGUUGUAAACCUCUUUUGUCAGGGAGCAAGGUGCAGGUCGGGACCUGCUGUGAGAGUACCUGAAGAAAAAGCAACGGCUAACUCCGUGCCAGCAGCCGCGGUAAUACGGAGGAUGCGAGCGUUAUCCGAUUGGAGUGGGGUUAAAGGGUGCGCAGGCGGAGGGACAAGUCAGCGGUAAAAUCGCGGGGAUCAACACAGCCCCGCCGUUGAAACUGUGUCCCUUGAGUGCGCGAAGGGUAGGCGGAAUGCGUGGUGUAGCGGUGAAAUGCAUAGAUAUCACGCAGAACUCCGGUCGCGAAGGCAGCCUACCGGCGCGCAACUGACGCUCAUGCACGAAAGCGUGGGUAUCGAACAGGAUUAGAUACCCGAGUAGUC